UCUUCUCUCCUGGUCUCCUUGAGCAGUGCUACUUAAACAGUUUUCACAGUUUCAUUGAUUGACUCUACCUCCUUGCCCCACACCACUUUUGCAAUCUUUAAACUUUCAGUGGCUGUGCAGAGUCGAGGGAGGAACCAGCUCUCUGGUUUACUGGAACAUAGUCUUCCAUCUAUACCACUAGGGUUUUGUCUUAUGUUUACUUUUGGUAACUCUCUUCCUUCUUUUUCUCCCUACCCCCCAACCCCUAGCCCAACCAAUGCUAGAAUUUCU
This 270-nucleotide long non-coding RNA is filed under the name Homo sapiens (human). RNAcentral's name for it is "LHRI_LNC874.1". Lineage: Eukaryota; Metazoa; Chordata; Mammalia; Primates; Hominidae. The record is from RNAcentral.